CAGUAGCCGCGGGAAUACGUAGGUGGCAAGCGUUGUCCGGAAUUACUGGGCUUAAAGCGCGUGUAGGCGGGUCGACACGUCCGAUGCUGAAAUCCCCCGGCUCAACCGGGGAAGUGGCCCGGAUACGAUCGACCUGGAGGGGGGUAGAGGGGCCUGGAACUUCCGGUGGAGCGGUGAGAUGCGUUGAGAUCGGAAGGAACGCCCGUGGCGAAAGCGAGGCCCUGGACCCUUACUGACGCUGAGACGCGAAAGCCAGGGGAGCGAACGGGAUUAGAUACCCGCGUAGUCCCUGUCUCUUAUA
RNAcentral lists this ribosomal RNA (301 nucleotides) under uncultured bacterium. Its description in RNAcentral is "partial 16S ribosomal RNA". It matches the Rfam family "Bacterial small subunit ribosomal RNA", at positions 509 to 807 of the family's 1533-position model. The record is from RNAcentral.